RNAcentral lists this ribosomal RNA (481 nucleotides) under uncultured bacterium. RNAcentral's name for it is "bacterial SSU rRNA". It matches the Rfam family "Bacterial small subunit ribosomal RNA", at positions 903 to 1382 of the family's 1533-position model. The record is from RNAcentral.
CUACAAAUGAAUUGACGGGGCCCGCACAAGCGGUGGAGCAUGUGGUUUAAUUCGACGCAACGCGAAGAACUUACCAGGGCUUGACAUCCCCUGACCGCGUAUGAAAGUACGUUUUCACCCUCGGGUGACAGGGAGACAGGUGGUGCAUGGUUGUCGUCAGCUCGUGUCGUGAGAUGUUGGGUUAAGUCCCGCAACGAGCGCAACCCUCGACCUUAGUUGCCAGCAUUCAGUUGGGCACUCUAAGGUGACUGCCGGCUAAAAGUCGGAGGAAGUGGGGAUGACGUCAAAUCAUCAUGCCCCUUAUGACCUGGGCUACACACGUGCUACAAUGGGUGGUACAAAGGGCUGCCAAGCCGCGAGGUGGAGCUAAUCCCAUAAAACCGAUCGUAGUCCGGAUCGCAGUCUGCAACUCGACUGCGUGAAGUCGGAAUCGCUAGUAAUCGUGAAUCAGAAUGUCACGGUGAAUACGUUCCCGGGCCUU